This 253-nucleotide ribosomal RNA is filed under the name uncultured bacterium. RNAcentral's name for it is "partial 16S ribosomal RNA". It matches the Rfam family "Bacterial small subunit ribosomal RNA", at positions 524 to 776 of the family's 1533-position model. The record is from RNAcentral.
UACAGAGGAUGCAAGCGUUAUCCGGAAUGAUUGGGCGUAAAGCGUCUGUAGGUGGCUUUUUAAGUCCGCCGUCAAAUCCCAGGGCUCAACUCUGGACAGGCGGUGGAAACUACCAAGCUGGAGUACGGUAGGGGCAGAGGGAAUUUCCGGUGGAGCGGUGAAAUGCGCAGAGAUGCGGAGGAACACCGAUGGCGAAGGCAGCCCCCUGGGCUGACACUGACGCUCAGGCACGAAAGCGUGGGGAGCAAACAGG